UCAAGGUCUGAGGUUGCCACCUGA
Molecule: non-coding RNA, 24 nt
Filed under: Mus musculus (house mouse)
Lineage: Eukaryota; Metazoa; Chordata; Mammalia; Rodentia; Muridae
Source: RNAcentral